This 565-nucleotide ribosomal RNA is filed under the name Enterococcus faecium. RNAcentral describes it as "partial 16S ribosomal RNA". Lineage: Bacteria; Bacillati; Bacillota; Bacilli; Lactobacillales; Enterococcaceae. The record is from RNAcentral.
ACCUUAGGCGGCUGGCUCCAAAAAGGUACCCCCACCAACUUCGGUGGUACCAAAUUCUCUGGUGUUAACGGGGGGGGUGUCCAAGGCCCGGAAACUUUUUCCCCCCGCCUGGUUGAUCCCCAAUACCAACCAAUCCCGGUUCCUGGCAGGCAAUUUGCACCCGGCAUCCCAAACGGAAAAAACUUUUAAAAAAUAACUUAACCCCCCCACCUUCCCACCUCUUUGUCCUUCCCAUUGAACCACUGGGGUACCCCAGGUCAUAAGGGGCAGGAGAAUUUGCCUCCUCCCCCCCCUCCCCCCGGUUGGCCCCCGGCAUCCUGGUUAAAUGGCCCACUUAAUGGAGGGCACCAAACAAAAAGGGUUGCCCUCUUUCCGGAAUUUACCCCACCUUCUCACAACCCAACUUAACAACAACAUGGACCAACCGGUCAUUUUGCCCCCAAAGGGAAACCUUUUUUUCUAAAGGGUUAAAAGGAGGUCAAACCCGGGAAAGUUCCUCCCCGUUCCUCCAAUUUAAACCACUGGCUCAACCCUUGGGGCGGCCCCCCUUCAAUUCCUUUGAUUU